CCUACGGGUGGCAGCAGUGGGGAAUAUUGCACAAUGGGGGGAACCCUGAUGCAGCAACGCCGCGUGGGUGAAGAAGUACUCCGGUAUGUAAAGCUCUAUCAGCAGGGAAGAAAAUGACGGUACCUGAGUAAGAAGCCCCGGCUAACUACGUGCCAGCCGCCGCGGUAAUACGUAGGGGGCAAGCGUUAUCCGGAUUUACUGGGUGUAAAGGGAGCGUAUACGGCAGUGCAAGUCUGGAGUGAAAGGCGGGGGCUCAACCCCCGGAGUGCUCUGGAAACUGUACGGAUGGAGUGCAGGAGAGGUAAGUGGAAUGCCUAGUGUAGCGGUGAAAUGCGUAGAUAUUAGGAGGAACACCAGUGGCGAAGGCGGCUUACUGGACUGUAACUGACGUUGAGGCUCGAAAGCGUGGGGAGCAAACAGGAUUAGAUACCCCAGUAGUC
RNAcentral lists this ribosomal RNA (440 nucleotides) under uncultured bacterium. RNAcentral's name for it is "partial 16S ribosomal RNA". It matches the Rfam family "Bacterial small subunit ribosomal RNA", at positions 338 to 795 of the family's 1533-position model. The record is from RNAcentral.